UAUCUAUUAUCAUCCAUUAAAAAGAAGAAAAAAAAGAUAGUGAAUGUGGUGUCAAAAAAGGUGUAAACUACACACUUUGCAGCACUUUCCUGCCCUUGAAUUUGAUGUCUUUGGUGGAAGAGCUGUGUAAGUAACAGUU
Small nucleolar RNA from Pipistrellus kuhlii (Kuhl's pipistrelle), 139 nucleotides. RefSeq annotates it as small nucleolar RNA SNORA13. Lineage: Eukaryota; Metazoa; Chordata; Mammalia; Chiroptera; Vespertilionidae. The record is from RefSeq and is a predicted model, not a curated record. The transcript has a single exon.